Molecule: ribosomal RNA, 250 nt
Filed under: uncultured bacterium
Lineage: Bacteria
Description: partial 16S ribosomal RNA
Rfam family: Bacterial small subunit ribosomal RNA
Source: RNAcentral
UACGGAGGGUGCAAGCGUUGCUCGGAAUUAUUGGGCGUAAAGGGUAGGUAGGUGGUCUCAUUUGUCUGAGGUGAAAGCCUUGGGCUUAACCUAAGAAGUGCCUCAGAAACGGUGAGACUAGAGUCCUGGAGAGGGUCGUGGAAUUCCCGGUGUAGCGGUGAAAUGCGUAGAGAUCGGGAGGAACACCAGUGGCGAAGGCGGCGACCUGGACAGGAACUGACACUCAACUACGAAAGCGUGGGGAGCAAAC